UUGGUUUUGGCCGAUCCUUGAUGAAAAUCUGUUUAAAUUGUGGUUAAGGGGUGUUUUUUUUGGCAAAAAGAGGGGAAAAACAAAUGCUUACUAGUAGUUUUGGUCCUUCAGUGUAGCAGCUCAGUCGAGCUUCGUCGUUCCUUCCUCAUAGUUUAUGGCUUCUCUCGGUUACCCUACAUUAAAACACAUUAGAUGACCAACGAUAGAGAAAUGGCAAGAACUUGAUGGAUUUCGGUCUAUCAGAGUGUUUUUGGUAUUCUGGCACGGUGGCGCCGACAUUCCUCUGAC
RNAcentral lists this long non-coding RNA (288 nucleotides) under Carica papaya (papaya). RNAcentral describes it as "long non-coding RNA (CPAP_LNC005530)". The record is from RNAcentral. Lineage: Eukaryota; Viridiplantae; Streptophyta; Magnoliopsida; Brassicales; Caricaceae.